CUUAAGAGUACACAAUGAUAUGUCAUGCUUUGUUCAGUCUGAUACCAUCCUCUACACAGAUGACUCACAAGUAAUAGGCUGCUAUAACACUGAUGAAAAUUCAAUAUGCCGCAUCGAGUAAACACAUGGAGAAUAGCGUGCUUUCUGUGUAUGGCAGAUUAAGUAUACCAUUAGAAUUACUAAAAACACAGUGGCACACACAGCAGUGAGACAUGCAAAAAAGCAUCACCUGCUAUGUGAUGGUAAUUCCAUGAAGUGGACCACACUGCAUGUGAUAUAUCUUCUAUUUCACACAUCUCCAGUGCAAUUUUUCUGUUCUAUGUAUGGAUCAUGAUUUGAAAUCCUGUACCUGUCAGUUCGCAUCUGCAACAAACUUUGAGUCAACCAAUGCAGCAACUGGUCCAAAAUAGCACACCAGGUAUUAGAUUAUUUCUGUGUUACACACAAUACUGAAAUGCCUUGUGAGACAUCUCUAUAUUCAUGUAUGCCCAAUGUUACUUCCCUGUUCCAAUAUACAAUGCCUGCAUUGUGAUUUAAUGUUUAAUUGUUUACUUACAGAGCCUGACACUGAGUGUGAUCAGCAAGGUUUUGGUAUGCCAUGGCAGAGCAAGAGCUUCCUCACACCACACCAGGUAUGAGAUUAAUUGUGUGAUAGGCACAAUACUGAAAUGCCUUGUGAGACAUCUCUAUAUUCAUGUAUGCCCAAUGUUACUUCCUUGUUCCAAUAUACAAUGCCUGCAUUGUGAUUUAAUGUUUAAUUGUUUACUUACAGAGCCUGACACUGAGUGUGAUCAGCAGGGUUUUGUUAUGCCAUGGCAGCAAGAGCUUCCUCACACCACACCAGGUAUGAGAUUAAUUCUGUGUUAGGCACAAUACUGAAAUGCCUUGUGAGACAUCUCUAUAUUCAUGUAUGCCCAAUGUUACUUCCCUGUUCCAAUAUACAAUGCCUGCAUUGUGAUUUAAUGUUUAAUUGUUUACUUACAGAGCCUGACACUGAGUGUGAUCAGCAAGGUUUUGGUAUGCCAUGGCAGCAAGAGCUUCCUCACACCACACCAGGUAUGAGAUUAAUUGUGUGUUAGGCACGAUACUGAAAUGCCUUGUGAGACAUCUCUGUAUUCAUGUAUGCCCAAUGUUACUUCCCUGUUCCAAUAUACAAUGCCUGCAUUGUGAUUUAAUGUUUAAUUGUUUACUUACAGAGCCUGACACUGAGUGUGAUGAGCAAGGUUUUGGUAUGCCAUGACAGCAAGA
This is an RNA transcript of Schistocerca cancellata (South American locust), 1248 nucleotides long. RefSeq lists it as uncharacterized. The transcript has 2 exons. The record is from RefSeq and is a predicted model, not a curated record. NCBI's taxonomy places the organism in Eukaryota, Metazoa, Arthropoda, Insecta, Orthoptera, Acrididae.